UGAAUGGUAAUAUUGCAGUUAGAAGAGGUA
Molecule: non-coding RNA, 30 nt
Filed under: Mus musculus (house mouse)
Lineage: Eukaryota; Metazoa; Chordata; Mammalia; Rodentia; Muridae
Source: RNAcentral